Molecule: ribosomal RNA, 464 nt
Filed under: uncultured bacterium
Lineage: Bacteria
Description: partial 16S ribosomal RNA
Rfam family: Bacterial small subunit ribosomal RNA
Source: RNAcentral
GAUGAACGCUGGCGGCGUGCCUAACACAUGCAAGUCGAGCGGAGAAUUGUUGCUUGCAACAAUUCUUAGCGGCGGACGGGUGAGUAACACGUGGGUAACCUGCCCUAAACAAAGGGAUAACAAUGAGAAAUCAUUGCUAAUACCGUAUAAGCUUACACUAUCGCAUGAUAGAGUAAGAAAAGAUUUAUCGGUUUAGGAGGGGCCCGCGUCUGAUUAGCUAGUUGGAGAGGUAACGGCUCACCAAGGCGACGAUCAGUAGCCGACCUGAGAGGGUGAUCGGCCACAUUGGGACUGAGACACAGCCCAAACUCCUACGGGAGGCAGCAGUGGGGAAUAUUGCACAAUGGAGGAAACUCUGAUGCAGCAACGCCGCGUGAAGGAAGAAGGUUUUCGGAUCGUAAACUUCUAUCUACAGGGAAGAAAAAAAUGACGGUACCUGAGUAAGAAGCCCCGGCUAACUACGU